This 406-nucleotide transfer-messenger RNA is filed under the name Candidatus Saccharimonadota bacterium. It matches the Rfam family "transfer-messenger RNA". Rfam says of the family: Bacterial tmRNA, also known as 10Sa RNA or SsrA, is named for its dual tRNA and mRNA-like properties. Its role is to liberate the mRNA from a stalled ribosome. RNAcentral also lists the same sequence under 1 other name. The record is from RNAcentral. Lineage: Bacteria; Candidatus Saccharimonadota.
GGGGCUGACAUAGCUUUCGACGAUGGGAAUUUAACAGGAUAUUUUGCAAGUCGACCGUACCCGUACAGUACAUUUUUAAUUGUAAACACAAUUACAGACAAAGCUACUGAGAAGCUUCGUGUAUUUGCUUCAGCAUUUACACCUGCAACAUCAGCAGUUGCUGCGUAACUAACGCAGUCAUUUGAAUUCGCUAGGCGACACGGCGAGUUUGAGUGAUAUAUACUUGUCGCUUGCUGCGCGUAGGGAAGCGGCCUACGCGUGGGACUUUUUCCGCGUAACCCGGCGUGAUGUUUCUGACUAUAUUUUAGUCACGACGAGUUAUAAAACAAUUUAAUAUAGCCUAAGCUUGUAGACGAAUAUCCAUGUUACCUGUCGGACCGGGGGGCAGUACCCCGCAGCUCCACCA